CCCUUAGAUGUUCUGGGCCGCACGCGUGCUACACUGAGUGGAUCAGCGGGUUAGGUAACACGAAAGUGUAUCCUAAUCUUCAAAUCCGCUCGUGAUGGGGAUUGAUGGUUGCAAUUUUUUAUCAUGAACGAGGAAUACCUUGUAGGCGCGUGUCAUCAUCACGCGCCGAAUACGUCCCUGCCCUUUGUACACACCGCCCGUCGCUCCUACCGAUGGGUGAUCCGGUGAAUGAUUCGGACUCGGUUGCCUCUAGCCACUAGUGGCGCUCGAGAAAGUUUUGUGAACCUUAUCACUUGGAGGAAGGAGAAGUCGUAACA
This 317-nucleotide ribosomal RNA is filed under the name uncultured eukaryote. Its description in RNAcentral is "partial 18S ribosomal RNA". It matches the Rfam family "Eukaryotic small subunit ribosomal RNA", at positions 1470 to 1796 of the family's 1831-position model. The record is from RNAcentral.